UACGGGGGGGGCAAGCGUUGUUCGGAAUUACUGGGCGUAAAGGGUUCGUAGGUGGCCAACUAAGUCAGACGUGAAAUCCCUCAGCUUAACUGGGGAACUGCGUCUGAGACUGGAUGGCUUGAGCGCAGGAGAGGAACGCGGAAUUCCAGGUGUAGCGGUGAAAUGCGUAGAUAUCUGGAGGAACACCGGUGGCGAAGGCGGCGUUCUGGACUGCUACUGACACUGAGGAACGAAAGCCAGGGGAGCAAACGGG
Molecule: ribosomal RNA, 253 nt
Filed under: uncultured bacterium
Lineage: Bacteria
Description: partial 16S ribosomal RNA
Rfam family: Bacterial small subunit ribosomal RNA
Source: RNAcentral